ACGCUCGACACCUACGGGGCAGCAGUGGGGAAUAUUGCACAAUGGGGGAAACCCUGAUGCAGCGACGCCGCGUGAGCGAAGAAGUAUUUCGGUAUGUAAAGCUCUAUCAGCAGGGAAGAAACUGACGGUACCUGACUAAGAAGCACCGGCUAAAUACGUGCCAGCAGCCGCGGUAAUCUGAGCGGGCUGGCAAGGC
RNAcentral lists this ribosomal RNA (196 nucleotides) under uncultured bacterium. RNAcentral's name for it is "partial 16S ribosomal RNA". It matches the Rfam family "Bacterial small subunit ribosomal RNA", at positions 326 to 539 of the family's 1533-position model. The record is from RNAcentral.